This is a long non-coding RNA of Etheostoma cragini (Arkansas darter), 448 nucleotides long. RefSeq lists it as uncharacterized. The transcript has 2 exons. NCBI's taxonomy places the organism in Eukaryota, Metazoa, Chordata, Actinopteri, Perciformes, Percidae. The record is from RefSeq and is a predicted model, not a curated record.
CCGACUUAUUGGGACUUUAACUCAUUCACUGUAUCCCCCAGAGUUAGAUAAGUUCAUAAAUAUCCCUUCUCAUCUUCAUGCGUGUUGUGACUCUGUCUGAUGCACCCACCGCUAGACUAGCUUAGCACAGAUGCUGGAGGUAACUGGUUCCAACUAGUCUAGCUUAGCACCGAUGCUGGAGGUAACUGUUUCCAACUAGUCUAGCUUAGCACUGAUGCUGGAGGUAACUGGUUCCAACUAGUCUAGCUUAGCACCGAUGCUGGAGGUAACUGUUUCCAACUAGUCUAGCUUAGCACAGAUGCUGGAGGUAACUGGUUCCAACUAGCCUGCUGCUCCCAGGAAGUGGCAACAUAAUGCCAACAUGUUCCUGUUUACAUGUUGGGAUUUGUAUAGUCACAGCGGGGACAAAUAACAAGGUCACAUGACACACAGCCAUCUUCUAACCGCA